This is a long non-coding RNA of Poecilia latipinna (sailfin molly), 521 nucleotides long. RefSeq lists it as uncharacterized. The transcript is spliced from 5 exons. Lineage: Eukaryota; Metazoa; Chordata; Actinopteri; Cyprinodontiformes; Poeciliidae. The record is from RefSeq and is a predicted model, not a curated record.
GCUUUUGUUGUUUUUUCAGCGAAAAAGUAGCAACUUUAAAUUAUUUCCCCCUAAAUGAAACGUAAUAAAUCACGUGACUCGUGACGUUUGCGACAUAUAAAAACCCAACACCGCGAGACUUCAGACACUCCAGAUCUCUCCGAUGGGAAGUAGUGUAGUCAGUGAACAUAGCGACUUUGUAACAAUGAUUAUAGCCAUACAGUUGAACUUGCCUAAUAAUGUGACGUCCUCCAGAGAUGACCCGCCUUAAAUAGGCUUCCAUCUGGAGAUGUUGCUGAAGACUUAACUUUGAGAAGGGCUGUGGAGAUGAUCCAUAAGUAGGAAGAAGAGGUGUACAACAAUAACAAAAAAAAGGUUCAGGUGCAUCAGUUGCAAGAGCUGAAUUUUUAAGACCUCUCUUGGCUCUUGAGGACACUGCUGUGUGCUGUAUCUGGGUAAACAAGUCGACACAAGAGCAGUUUGAAGGAAUCAGGAGGCGUGAUGCUUAAUUAAAAUUGAGAGCAAAAUGGUGGAAUGAGCCA